Molecule: small nuclear RNA, 107 nt
Organism: Cercocebus atys (sooty mangabey)
Lineage: Eukaryota; Metazoa; Chordata; Mammalia; Primates; Cercopithecidae
Source: Ensembl
UUGCUUGCUUCAGCAACACAUAUACUAUAAUUGGAACAAUACAGAGUAGAUCAUCAUGACCCCUGUGCAAAGAUGACAUGCAAAUUUGUGAAGUAUUUCAUAUUUUU